ACCCUACGGGGGGCAGCAGUGGGGAAUAUUGCACAAUGGGGGAAACCCUGAUGCAGCGACGCAGCGUGCGGGAUGACGGCCUUCGGGUUGUAAACCGCUUUCAGCAGGGAAGAAGCGAAAGUGACGGUACCUGCAGAAGAAGUACCGGCUAACUACGUGCCAGCAGCCGCGGUAAUACGUAGGGUACGAGCGUUGUCCGGAAUUAUUGGGCGUAAAGAGCUCGUAGGUGGUUGGUCACGUCUGCUGUGGAAACGCAACGCUUAACGUUGCGCGUGCAGUGGGUACGGGCUGACUAGAGUGCAGUAGGGGAGUCUGGAAUUCCUGGUGUAGCGGUGAAAUGCGCAGAUAUCAGGAGGAACACCGGUGGCGAAGGCGGGACUCUGGGCUGUAACUGACACUGAGGAGCGAAAGCAUGGGGAGCAAACAGGAUUAGAUACCCCGGUAGUCUC
Molecule: ribosomal RNA, 449 nt
Filed under: uncultured bacterium
Lineage: Bacteria
Description: bacterial SSU rRNA
Rfam family: Bacterial small subunit ribosomal RNA
Source: RNAcentral